RNAcentral lists this ribosomal RNA (402 nucleotides) under uncultured prokaryote. Its description in RNAcentral is "bacterial SSU rRNA". It matches the Rfam family "Bacterial small subunit ribosomal RNA", at positions 355 to 774 of the family's 1533-position model. The record is from RNAcentral.
UGAGGAAUAUUGGACAAUGGGCGAAAGCCUGAUCCAGCCAUGCCGCGUGAGUGAAGAAGGCCCUAGGGUUGUAAAGCUCUUUCAGUGGGGAAGAUAAUGACGGUACCCACAGAAGAAGCCCCGGCUAACUUCGUGCCAGCAGCCGCGGUAAUACGAAGGGGGCUAGCGUUGUUCGGAAUUACUGGGCGUAAAGCGCACGUAGGCGGAUCGUUAAGUCGGGGGUGAAAUCCUGGGGCUCAACCUCAGAACUGCCUUCGAUACUGGCGAUCUCGAGUCCGGGAGAGGUGAGUGGAAUUCCGAGUGUAGAGGUGAAAUUCGUAGAUAUUCGGAGGAACACCAGUGGCGAAGGCGGCUCACUGGCCCGGUACUGACGCUGAGGUGCGAAAGCGUGGGGAGCAAACA